Molecule: ribosomal RNA, 465 nt
Filed under: uncultured bacterium
Lineage: Bacteria
Description: partial 16S ribosomal RNA
Rfam family: Bacterial small subunit ribosomal RNA
Source: RNAcentral
GACGAACGCUGGCGGCGUGCUUAACACAUGCAAGUCGAACGGAAAGGCCCCUUUGGGGGUACUCGAGUGGCGAACGGGUGAGUAACACGUGAGUAACCUGCCCUUGACUUCGGGAUAACUUCAGGAAACUGGGGCUAAUACCGGAUAGGAAUCCUUGCUGCAUGGUGGGGGUUGGAAAGCUUCGGCGGUUUUGGAUGGACUCGCGGCUUAUCAGCUUGUUGGUGGGGUAGUGGCUUACCAAGGCUUUGACGGGUAGCCGGCCUGAGAGGGGGACCGGCCACAUUGGGACUGAGAUACGGCCAGGACUCCGACGGGAGGAAGCAGUGGGGAAUAUUGCACAAUGGGCGGAAGCCUGAUGCCACAACGCCGCGUGCGGGAUGACGGCCUUCGGGUUGUAAGCCGCUUUCAGCAGGGGCGAAGCUUGUGGUGACGGUACCUGCAGAAGAAGCACCGGCUAACUACGUG